AGGAUACUAUUGCAAUUAGCUGGAUGGGAGAUGAGCAAGAGACAUUGCUGUUAUUCCACCAACACUGUAGCAGUGGAGGCGGUGAAGAGUUGUUGGAUUUUGAAAGUAAUCUGUAGGAUUCACCGGUGGUUGGAUUUGGGGUGUAAGAGAAAGAGAAGAAUCAAAGAUAACCCCAAGAUGAUUGGCCUGAGUGCCGCACCCCCACACACCCCAAAGGGAGUUACUAUUAACUACGAUGGAGAAUCAGGGGAAAAACUGGUUUUGGAGGAAAGGUUCUGUAGCCUGGCCUGAGAAUUAAAAUGACACAAGACAGAUUAAUAGAAGAAAAGAUAUACAUCUUAUUUAAUACAUUUAUAUGCAUACAAGAGCCUUCAAAAGGAAAACGAAGAUCUGAAGGAGUUGCUAAGGGAUGGACUUUGGCCCACUUCGGCCACGCAGAUGAGGACAGCACCUACGUGAUGGUGCAUUGUGAAGCUGGACUGAGCACCUUUGAGCUGGGCUAUCUGCUCUUUAUCUUCUUUGUCCCUUAGAACUGUUACCUGAAAGAAAGAAAUACUUGUCUUUUGUGAGCUUUUGCAUUUUGAAAUCGCUUUAUGGCAGCACGGCCUAAUAAAGAUAGCAUAUGUUGUGUUUAAAUGUAGUCUAAAUUUUUAAAAUUCAAGAUCAAGGAAACAAGUAUAUUUUAAAUUAACAUAAUCAAAGUGUCAAACCUAGUACUUAUUUACCCAAUGUGUGUGUUUCAAUAGUAUUUGAAACUACUGUUUGGAAUGGCAAAUGAAC
This 780-nucleotide long non-coding RNA is filed under the name Equus caballus (horse). RNAcentral's name for it is "lncRNA (ENSECAG00000046700.1)". The record is from RNAcentral. Lineage: Eukaryota; Metazoa; Chordata; Mammalia; Perissodactyla; Equidae.